Molecule: long non-coding RNA, 1202 nt
Organism: Brassica rapa (field mustard)
Lineage: Eukaryota; Viridiplantae; Streptophyta; Magnoliopsida; Brassicales; Brassicaceae
Source: RefSeq, a predicted model, not a curated record
UUUAAUGUAGAGUUAUUAACAGAAAUAGACACAUUUUGUAUUUUUAUUACACCAUAGAACACAAUGUGCGACCGAAGUAGUUUAUUGUGGUUGAAGAUCCAUUUAACUUCAGAAAAGCUAAACUAAAGAUGGACAUUUAGGUAAAUUGACAUUUUUUUAGUUAGGCUGGUUAGAAAAUUUAAAAUUCAAAAAUGUUGGGUAAUGCACGGUGGACAUGAAAUAAAGUUGAAAUACGUUUAUAUUUUAUCUUUGGGCCCGUAAAAAAGUAGAUCUGAUCUGGUAAAAUUAUUUUCACAAAGAGGGAAAUAGAGGGACGGUUCUGACGGAGAAGAUGACGACUAAGAACGUUUAUACGGUGGAGACUGACGGAGAAGACGAUGUCGUCGAGAAAUAAAUGGACGUCAAAGGGGAAAGACAAAGAUUAGUGAAGAGAUGGAGACGAUGAGCUUCAGUUGUGGGCAUUUGAAGCUAUAUCAACUUGGCUUAGUCGUUUAGGGGACGAUGACAAGUUGAAGCAUCUAAGUUAUGUCAAUGAGAAGCUCCCACAAGACACAUUGUUGGUUUUGGCGGAGGUGCAAGAGGCUGAGCAUGAUCCUCAGGUAACUAUUUGUACACAUGUACGAACGUUUAAGGUUGUACACGUUACGUGUGAUGUACAUGUGUACAACAACAUAUGUGUAUAUGUGUACUUUGCAUACUAUGCUUAUAUGGUUUGCGGUUGAGGUGUGUAUUGAUUUUGCUUUGGUUUAUCGUGUUUUUAUGUUUGCUGCUGAUUGUGCAACCUACGGUGGAGUGUGGGGAGGACAAGGAGGAUGGCUGGGGAGAAUUUGACGAUGAAUUUUUUGAAUAUAAAGUUGCCGACAUGGUUAAGCUUCUGAAGGUUGGGCACAAAUUCAGAAAACAUAAGUGGAGUGGCGGUGAUGCAUUUGAACCUAUUUACAUGUGUACAAGCAAGUGUGUGCAUGUGUAUAAGAAAAUGUGUACAUGUGUACAACACUGAGUGUUUACAUGUACACAAACAAGUAUAUGUACAUUUAGGGUGUGUACAUAAGUGGUUUAUUUUGACAUGUUUGUUGGUGUUGAAGGAUGAAUGUGUUUAGCAUGAUAGCAUGAUACUAUAAUAUAUUUAGAUGUUUUGGGCAUAUAAUGUAAAGUAUCUUGAUGACUAUUGAUUCUAAGUAAAACUUUUCGCAUUGAUAUGU